Molecule: long non-coding RNA, 1206 nt
Organism: Oreochromis niloticus (Nile tilapia)
Lineage: Eukaryota; Metazoa; Chordata; Actinopteri; Cichliformes; Cichlidae
Exons: 2
Source: RefSeq, a predicted model, not a curated record
UGGCGUUUAGUUUCCACUUCUUUCACGUUGCUCUUCAUUUCCGGUUUUGUGCCAAAAAGUAAUCGCCUGCCAAAAACUGAUUUCCGGUAUUUGCCAAAAACGGAUUGUUCGUAUUUAAACUGCUGUAAAUAACUUUUUGGUCUAUAAUAUGUGAAACAUAUGUCAAAUGUAUCCCUCGUGAAUGAUAUCAAGUCGUCUUGAACCACAAACAACGUUCCUGUCACAAGGUAGAAGCCGCAAUCAGUUUUUGGCCGUGACCAUAGCUGGACUGGCCAUCGGGAAUAUCGAUGGUGAUUUUUCGUUUUUAUGGGCCGACGUUUUUUUUGUUUGUUUGGUUUUUUUUUGUAACGGUAUAAACAAUGAAAGGUGGUGGAUUGGCCAAUUGGUCAUGAUCGACUCUGGGCUGGACCAAUUACAGCCGAUGAGGUCGAACUUUAAAGUUUCGUAUUUAGGGCCCUGUUUCAGAAAGCCGGUUUAGAAAACUCAGAGUUAAAAAUGAUACUCAGGCUUGAGUAACCCCUAACUGUCCAACUCGGAAUAUUCGGUUUCAGAAAGGCUGAUAACAAUUAGUUCAAUCAACGCGGAGUUGCUUUAACCCCAAGUUAAGCACGCGCAUAAAGCCCUGAUUAGUGGAGCACAGAUUAAGCGAGUCACCAUGGAGACGGAGGGAAAGAAGGCGCGGCCAAUGUAUUUUACAGCGCUUGAGGCCGAAAUUCUGAUGGCAGCAUAUGCCGAUAACAUGCAAAUUUUGCGGAAAAAAAGUAACACAGCCUCAGCUGCAAAAGAAAGGGAGCAUGCAUGGCAAUACAUAGCCGACAGAGUCAAUGCGUGAGUGUUAAUUUAAAAAUUGAUCUAGGGAUUUCCACCCAUUUAACACGUUAUUUUAUUAUAUUUCAUUUUAUUUUUUAUUUUAUACAUUUUAUUUUGUGAUGUGAUGUGAGCGCAUGUGCAACCCAACAGGCCCCAAACGUUCCUGGCAGCAAGUAAAAAUGAAAUAUCAAAAAUGUAGAGGAAGAGGGUCCAGCCACUUCUCCAACAAACCUUUCCUCACUCCCUGUACAGCAGCUGUACAAGACCUGUUUGAUCAAGAAAAUAAAAAAAUGCUUUUUGGAAAUGGAACACUUCAAGCAGCAGAAUGGAAUGUGAGUGCCAUCUAUACAGCCAAUCACGCCUGGGAACCCUGAAAAUAAAUGUAAAAUCUAAGUA